UGAAAGAAAAAGAUGUUGAACUUCAAAAGU
RNAcentral lists this non-coding RNA (30 nucleotides) under Mus musculus (house mouse). The record is from RNAcentral. Lineage: Eukaryota; Metazoa; Chordata; Mammalia; Rodentia; Muridae.